This 87-nucleotide transfer RNA is filed under the name Halocarpus bidwillii. Its description in RNAcentral is "tRNA-Ser". It matches the Rfam family "tRNA". From Rfam's summary of the family: Transfer RNA (tRNA) molecules are approximately 80 nucleotides in length. The record is from RNAcentral. Lineage: Eukaryota; Viridiplantae; Streptophyta; Pinopsida; Araucariales; Podocarpaceae.
GGAAAGAUGGCCGAGCGGUUCAAGGCGUAGCAUUGGAACUGCUAUGUAAGCUUAUGUUUACCGAGGGUUCGAAUCCCUCUCUUUCCG